This 271-nucleotide ribosomal RNA is filed under the name uncultured bacterium. RNAcentral's name for it is "partial 16S ribosomal RNA". It matches the Rfam family "Bacterial small subunit ribosomal RNA", at positions 28 to 295 of the family's 1533-position model. The record is from RNAcentral.
GAUGAACGCUAGCGGCAGGCUUAACACAUGCAAGUCGAGGGGCAGCACGAUGUAGCAAUACAUUGGUGGCGACCGGCGCACGGGUGCGUAACACGUAUGGAAUCUGCCCUUUACUGGAGGAUAGCCCGGAGAAAUCCGGAUUAAUACUCCAUAACUGUCGAGGUGGCAUCACCUUGAUCUGAAAGCUCCGGCGGUAAAGGAUGACCAUGCGCACGAUUAGCUAGUUGGUGAGGUAAUGGCUCACCAAGGCUACGAUCGGUUAGGGGCCUGA